Molecule: ribosomal RNA, 421 nt
Filed under: uncultured bacterium
Lineage: Bacteria
Description: bacterial SSU rRNA
Rfam family: Bacterial small subunit ribosomal RNA
Source: RNAcentral
UAAGGAAUAUUGGUCAAUGGACGCAAGUCUGAACCAGCCAUGCCGCGUGAAGGAUGAAGGUCCUCUGGAUUGUAAACUUCUUUUAUCUGGGACGAAAACGGGAUUUUUAUCUCAAUUGACGGUACCAGAGGAAUAAGCACCGGCUAACUCCGUGCCAGCAGCCGCGGUAAUACGGAGGGUGCGAGCGUUAUCCGGAUUUACUGGGUUUAAAGGGUGCGUAGGCGGGCUUGUAAGUCAGUGGUGAAAUCUCUCAGCUUAACUGAGAAACUGCCAUUGAUACUGCAGGCCUAGAGUAUAGAUGACGUUGGCGGAAUAUGACAUGUAGUGGUGAAAUACUUAGAUAUGUCAUAGAACACCGAUUGCGAAGGCAGCUAACGAAACUAUAACUGACGCUGAGGCACGAAAGUGCGGGGAUCAAACA